Molecule: ribosomal RNA, 465 nt
Filed under: uncultured bacterium
Lineage: Bacteria
Description: partial 16S ribosomal RNA
Rfam family: Bacterial small subunit ribosomal RNA
Source: RNAcentral
GACGAACGCUGGCGGCGUGCUUAACACAUGCAAGUCGAACGGAAAGGCCCUGCUUGCAGGGUCCUCGAGUGGCGAACGGGUGAGUAACACGUGGGUGAUCUGCCCUGCACUUCGGGAUAAGCCUGGGCAACUGGGUCUAAUACCGGAUAGGAGCCAUUUUUAGUGUGAUGGUUGGAAAGUUUUUUCGGUGUAGGAUGAGCUCGCGGCCUAUCAGCUUGUUGGUGGGGUAAUGGCCUACCAAGGCGGCGACGGGUAGCCGGCCUGAGAGGGUGGACGGCCACAUUGGGACUGAGAGACGGCCCAGACUCCUACGGGAGGCAGCAGUGGGGAAGAUUGCACAAUGGGCGCAAGCCUGAUGCAGCGACGCCGCGUGGGGGAUGACGGCCUUCGGGUUGUAAACUCCUUUCGCUAGGGACGAAGCUUUUUGUGACGGUACCUAGAUAAGAAGCACCGGCUAACUACGUG